AUAGUCCAUGUAAAGUCGGAGGGUAUCAUCCUUUUUUCUUUAUAAAAAACACCGGAGAGCCUUGAGGAGAAUUGCUGGGGCAAAUGAAUUUUUAGGUGAUAAGAUUAGAAAGCUGAUGUUCCAGCUCUCUUAGCUGAGUGCAACUCAUGCGAUACACGAGCUUCAAGAUCGGUUGGGUUCCAGGCAAUAAUUCAUUGAAGAACUCUACCUCAUGUGGGGGAGGUUGACUAGGGAGUUCGAUGGGAAAGACAUCAGGAAAAUUACAAACAAUAGAUAUGGAACACACAACAGGAUCAAUGUCCAUAUUCCUG
This 311-nucleotide long non-coding RNA is filed under the name Carica papaya (papaya). RNAcentral describes it as "long non-coding RNA (CPAP_LNC003430)". Lineage: Eukaryota; Viridiplantae; Streptophyta; Magnoliopsida; Brassicales; Caricaceae. The record is from RNAcentral.